Zingiber officinale is the source of this 1640-nucleotide RNA transcript. It is a transcript of the gene named probable tetraacyldisaccharide 4'-kinase, mitochondrial, with no coding region annotated. The transcript is spliced from 8 exons. NCBI's taxonomy places the organism in Eukaryota, Viridiplantae, Streptophyta, Magnoliopsida, Zingiberales, Zingiberaceae. The record is from RefSeq and is a predicted model, not a curated record.
CUCUGUCGAACUCUCUGGAAGGAAAUUGAAUGGAGCGGUUGAAGACGGCGGUCGCCCAAAUCGCCGCCACCACGGACAGCCGCCUCCGGGAGCUCCCGCUCCUCCACCGUUCCCUUCUGCUCCCUCUCCUCUCCCUCGCCUCCUCCCUCUACCGCCAUUCCCUCGCCCUCCGUCGCCGCGUCUACGCUCUCGGACUCCUCUCCCGGCAAAGGUUGCCGGUGCCGGUGAUCAGCGUUGGCAAUCUGACGUGGGGCGGCAACGGGAAGACUCCUAUGGUGGAAUUUAUUGCCCGGAUCUUUUUGGAGGCCGGGAUCUCGCCGCUCAUCCUAACCAGGGGCUAUGCAGGAGGUGAUGAAGUUAAAAUGAUUCAGAGACACCUUGCAGGGACACCUACUAGGAUCGGUGUAGGUGCUAAUAGGAGUGCAACUGCAGCUUCUAUAUUCAGACAACAUGGUUACAUGAAGUUCAAUAGCACAUUGUUUGCAGAACAACUAUCAAGUACUCAGCAUUUGAGACUUGCAUCUGGAAAUGACAAAGUGGCUGUUGCAAUUUUGGAUGAUGGAAUGCAGCAUUGGAGCUUGUCUCGUGAUGUGGAAAUGGUAAUGAUAAAUGGCUUGAUACCAUGGGGAAACAACCAUCUGCUUCCUCGCGGAUCCCUGAGAGAACCAUUGGAUGCACUUUGUAGAGCAGACAUCACUGUGAUUCACCAUGCAGAUUUGUUAUCUGAAGGGAAGCUCAAAAUGAUAGAGACAAAGAUUCGGAUCAUCGAUCCAUGUUCUACCAUAUUCUUUAGUAGAUUGGCACCAUCUCACUUUUUUGAAGUGAAGAAUCAGCAUUCCAUAUUGCCGUUAGGUCUGGUGCUUAACAGGACUGUGCUAUGCGUUUCUGGAAUUGGUUCCCCAUGUGCUUUUGCCCAAGUAGUUGGUAAGAUCGGGCCAUCAUAUGUUGAUAGAUUAGACUUUGAUGAUCAUCACUCCAUCCAAUUUCAUGUACCCAAGAAUUUAACCAAAUAUAUACCUGGUCUGAAUUGGAUACGGGUAUUUACUGACUAUCGUGGAGACUAAAAUGUAUCUAAACAUACUUUAGCAGGUUGGGCGGGCAAGGUAUGGAAAAAACAUGACUGAUUGCCAUUGCUUGUAUGAUCUAUUAUACAUUCUUAAGUGUUUAAUGCUCUUGUAUCUGUUCAGAUGGAGAAAGCCAGUGACAAGUUUGACUAAAUUUGCUACUAAUUUUUUCCCCUACGAUAGAACAUUUGCCUUGCAAGUAGCAGAAGUGAGGACGUUGUGAAAUGGGUUCACUUUACCAAUUUGUGUAAUCAAAACUCAUAGCAGAACUUAGAAGACUUAUCUCAUAACCUUUUUAAGUUUUCUAUAAUUAUAAUUAGUUUAUUUGAUAUAUGUAACAUAUUUAUUUUUGAAGAAACACUGGUUUUAUUUGUCAGUUGUUUGAUUUCAUCUAGUUUACCUGAAAUUUGUUGGAUCUCCAUUGAAGGAUAUCAAGUUGAUCAAAGAGAGACUAGAGGAGCUCGCGAAUAGAUUCAGAGAAAAAAUUAUUGUAGUGGUGACUGAAAAGGACUAUGAUCGAGAUCCACUUAUUCUAACGGAGCUACAUGAUUUUGAUGUCCUGGUCCUCUGUUGUUC